AGGGGUCAGCUACCCAGGCACGGGAGGACCUUCAUUUUGUUAUCUGGCUUUCCACCCAAUACUUGCUGUCCAUCAGCCAAUCACUUCAAAUAUGUUUAUGCACCUGGGAAGAGCAAGAGAAUUGACUGCAACCCCAGGAGGAGUGAACAGAGGUGUCGGGGGUUGGGGAGCAGCACUCAGUGCAGAGGAGACCCCAACAGGAUGUGUCGGAGAAAGAACGCAGCCCGCCAGCCUCAGGCUUCCAAAGCAGGUAUUCUGGAAGGCCAGUCAGCAGGAAGGUGAAACUCCCCACCCCGGGCAGCCUCCUUCAAGCAGAAGAUCUCUCUUAGCCCACAGGGGACCACAGGACCUAACCUAGCAAAGGAGAUUUCGAUAUAAAAUUUCCUUUCCUGUUGGUCUGUCCUCAAAGAUUUCACAAAGAUUCACAUAAAUGCUUAGGGAAUCUAUGAACAAAAUCUCAGCAUUGUGUAGGCAAAGACCUACAUCUCUAAGAGUGAAUGGUGUAAAUGAAGACCCAUAUGAGGAAUCGAAGCAAAUUACUUUCUUCAAAGCAGCCUCAGUGCAACUAACUGGCACAGAGAAAACUUUUUGAAGAACUUUAUAUUCUCAAAGAUGUUUAAGAAAAUGUUACUUCAUUUCAAAAAAAAAUAAAGCACAGGCCAUCAUAAAAUAGAA
This is a long non-coding RNA of Gorilla gorilla gorilla (western lowland gorilla), 675 nucleotides long. RefSeq lists it as uncharacterized. NCBI's taxonomy places the organism in Eukaryota, Metazoa, Chordata, Mammalia, Primates, Hominidae. The record is from RefSeq and is a predicted model, not a curated record. The transcript is spliced from 2 exons.